Molecule: long non-coding RNA, 1197 nt
Organism: Homo sapiens (human)
Lineage: Eukaryota; Metazoa; Chordata; Mammalia; Primates; Hominidae
Exons: 3
Source: RefSeq, a predicted model, not a curated record
UUUGCCCUGCCUAAUCAAUUAUUUGUACAAUAAGUCCCAUUUUAUACUUAAGAUGGCUUGCAUAGGGUUUUUUUUGCCACUUGAAAAACGGAAAAACAUCAUGACCUACAUAUAUCAUGUUUCUGAUCUUGGCAAGAAAAAGAGAGUUUGUAGAUUAGAGAGCUGACCUUUGCCACACACUAUUGUUCCAGACCUUGGUUUCUGAACCUUGGCAUUAUUGCCAUUUUGGGCCAAAUAAUUCUUUGUUGUGGGGGCUGUCCUGGGCCUUACAGGAUGUCUAGCAGUGUCCCUGGCCACUGCCCACUAGAUGCCAGGAGCACCCCUGCCCCCCACAGUCCUGAAAAGCACAAAUGUCCCCAGACACUGCCAAUGUUUCCUGCAGGCCAAAACCACCUCUAGGUUGAGAAGCACUGAUCUAGAUAGAUCCACGUGGAGUUUCUCUUCAAGCUUGCUUCUUGGAUCUCAUUUUCUCAGCCGGAGUUAGGAACACGUGUGGAAGUGAAAGUGGAGGUCUUUUAGAACUUUUGUGCUGGCAGACAUGAUCCAUGGUGAUGGGCUUGGAGAGUUGGGGAGCUUCCUCAUCGAUCUGCCGCAGCAGCCCAGAGCGCAAGAGCUCUGUGUUUGGGAGCAUUUGUGAUAAGCAAUGAAAUUGGCCACCGAAGGUUGAGUUGUUUAGCGGUGAGGCUGUCAAGUGCUUCCUGAUAAGAGCCCUUGAUCUCCCAUUACAGCGCACGUCACCAGAGGCAGCAAUGAGCCCCACCACCUGGCACCACCGCUAAUGGCUUUGGCUUCGGCAGAGAGCGGUGUCAGGGCUGCAGACGGAGCACAGAUGGGAGUGGCAUCCUACAAGAUCCCCAGCUCAGCGCUCACUUUUGUAGUGAAGACAUGCUUUAAAAUCAUCGAGUGUGCCUGCCUUUGAGAUUUGCAAGAGGAAGCAAAGAGCACGUUAAUGAAACUUGGGAGGAAACUGAAUUUAGAGCUGCUGCAAACACAGAAGUAAUGAAAGCAAACAUAAAGAUGUUAGAAGUGUGGUCAGGAAAUUAAAAAAAAAAGAGCUACAGCUUGGAAAAUAGAUUUUGAACAUUCGCAAAGACUGAUUUGCUCCAGGACUGUCUAGAACCACAUUCCCAGAAGUGUAUUCUGGGAGCAUUAGUCCUACCAGAUGCUCUACCAAAUAAAGGACUCUUGGCCAAGCAA